RNAcentral lists this ribosomal RNA (468 nucleotides) under uncultured bacterium. RNAcentral describes it as "partial 16S ribosomal RNA". It matches the Rfam family "Bacterial small subunit ribosomal RNA", at positions 28 to 507 of the family's 1533-position model. The record is from RNAcentral.
GACGAACGCUGGCGGCGUGCUUAACACAUGCAAGUCGAACGGAAAGGCCCUGCUUUUGUGGGGUGCUCGAGUGGCGAACGGGUGAGUAACACGUGAGUAACCUGCCCUUGACUUUGGGAUAACUUCAGGAAACUGGGGCUAAUACCGGAUAGGAGCUCCUGCUGCAUGGUGGGGGUUGGAAAGUUUCGGCGGUUGGGGAUGGACUCGCGGCUUAUCAGCUUGUUGGUGGGGUAGUGGCUUACCAAGGCUUUGACGGGUAGCCGGCCUGAGAGGGUGACCGGCCACAUUGGGACUGAGAUACGGCCCAGACUCCUACGGGAGGCAGCAGUGGGGGAUAUUGCACAAUGCGCGGAAGCCUGAUGCAGCGACGCCGCGUGCGGGAUGACGGCCUUCGGGUUGUAAACCGCUUUCGCCUGUGACGAAGCGUGAGUGACGGUAAUGGGUAAAGAAGCACCGGCUAACUACGUG